AACGAACGCUGGCGGCAUGCCUAACACAUGCAAGUCGAACGCGACGUUCGGGUCUUGGGGCGCAGGUGUGCGUAACGCGUGGAAACCUGCCCUUAGGUUCGGUAUCACUCCCCGAAAGGGAUGCUAAUACCAGAUGAUCUAUUCGGGCAAAAGAUUUCUCGCCAUUGGAUGGGCCCGCGUUGGAUUAGCUAGUUGGUAGGGUAAAAGCCUACCAAGGCGACGAUCCAUAGCUGGUCUGAGAGGAUGAUCAGCCACAAUGGGACUGAGACACGGCCCAGACUCCUACGGGAGGCAGCAGUGGGGAAUAUUGGACAAUGGGCGCAAGCCUGAUCCAGCCAUGCCGCGUGAGUGAUGAAGGCCUUAGGGUUGUAAAGCUCUUUUACCCGGGAUGAUAAUGACGGUACCGGGAGAAUAAGCUCCGGCUAACUCCGUG
This 433-nucleotide ribosomal RNA is filed under the name uncultured bacterium. RNAcentral's name for it is "partial 16S ribosomal RNA". It matches the Rfam family "Bacterial small subunit ribosomal RNA", at positions 29 to 507 of the family's 1533-position model. The record is from RNAcentral.